ACCAGCAUGCAACUGACACUGAGGCACGAAAGCGUGGGUAUCAAACAGGAUUAGAUACCCUGGUAGUCCACGCAGUAAACGAUGAAUACUAGCUGUUGGCGAUAUAUGGUCAGCGGUACAGCGAAAGUGUUAAGUAUUCCACCUGGGGAGUACGCCGGCAACGGUGAAACUCAAAGGAAUUGACGGGGGCCCGCACAAGCGGAGGAACAUGUGGUUUAAUUCGAUGAUACGCGAGGAACCUUACCCGGGCUUGAAAGUUAGUGACGGCGGAUGAAAGUCUGCUUCCCUUCGGGGCACGAAACUAGGUGCUGCAUGGUUGUCGUCAGCUCGUGCCGUGAGGUGUCGGCUUAAGUGCCAUAACGAGCGCAACCCUUGCCGUUAGUUGCCAGCGGGUAAUGCCGGGAACUCUAGCGGGACUGCUACUGUAAGGUAGAGGAAGGUGGGGAUGACGUCAAAUCAGCACGGCCCUUACGUCCGGGGCGACACACGUGACGGGCGGUGUGUACAAGAGGGUUGCUACGUGGUGACAAGAUGCUAAUCUACUAAAACUCAUCUCAGUUCGGAUCGGAGUGGACAACUCGAGUCCGCGAAGCUGGAAAG
Molecule: ribosomal RNA, 600 nt
Filed under: uncultured bacterium
Lineage: Bacteria
Description: bacterial SSU rRNA
Rfam family: Bacterial small subunit ribosomal RNA
Source: RNAcentral